This 497-nucleotide ribosomal RNA is filed under the name uncultured bacterium. RNAcentral's name for it is "partial 16S ribosomal RNA". It matches the Rfam family "Bacterial small subunit ribosomal RNA", at positions 28 to 507 of the family's 1533-position model. The record is from RNAcentral.
GAUGAACGCUGGCGGCGUGCCUAAUACAUGCAAGUCGAGCGAACAGACGAGGAGCUUGCUCCUCUGACGUUAGCGGCGGACGGGUGAGUAACACGUGGAUAACCUACCUAUAAGACUGGGAUAACUUCGGGAAACCGGAGCUAAUACGGGAAAAAAUAUUGAACCGCAGGGUUAAAUGGGGAAAGAGGGUUUUGCGGUCACUAAUAGAUGGAUCCGCGCCGCAUUAGCUAGUUGGUAAGGUAACGGCUUACAAAGGCAACGAUGCGUAGCCGACCUGAGAGGGUGAUCGGCCACACUGGAACUGAGACACGGUCCAGACUCCUACGGGAGGCAGCAGUAGGGAAUCUUCCGCAAUGGGCGAAAGCCUGACGGAGCAACGCCGCGUGAGUGAUGAAGGUCUUCGGAUCGUAAAACUCUGUUAUUAGGGAAGAACAAAUGUGUAAGUAACUAUGCACGUCUUGACGGUACCUAAUCAGAAAGCCACGGCUAACUACGUG